Pecten maximus is the source of this 455-nucleotide long non-coding RNA. RefSeq lists it as uncharacterized. The transcript is spliced from 3 exons. Lineage: Eukaryota; Metazoa; Mollusca; Bivalvia; Pectinida; Pectinidae. The record is from RefSeq and is a predicted model, not a curated record.
GUGGGGUCUAAGGACUGGACAGACGAGGUAGGAAAGAUCAGCAAGAAAUGGAGUGGGUUUACAAGGGAGUUAAAUACAGAGGUCGAUAAUUUUGGAAUUAAUUUUCCAAUGGAUUUGGAUGUCAAGUUGAAAGCAGUGAUGCUGGGAGCCGUUUUCCUCAUUGAUUUUAUAUUUUUUGAACAGAAACAGAACUUGCACCAUUGAAACACCAGUGUACCUUGGAUUAUUUUCUGCGGAAAAGAUGGAUACAUGCAAUCUAAUUAUCUAAGCCAUACAUAUUGAUUGAUCUGACAUCUCAUAUAGAUUUUAUCACUGAUUUCAUUAUCAAUAAUGACACGAUGUCAAAAUACUUCAUUCGUUGUAGUUGCAGCAUCCACUGCUUCUUAAACAGAACAUGCUCUUACUCAAAACAACAUUUGAAAAUAAUAAUACCAUAUGUACAUUAUAUUUAAUAA